RNAcentral lists this non-coding RNA (310 nucleotides) under Atlantibacter sp. RC6. RNAcentral's name for it is "MicL sRNA". It matches the Rfam family "MicL sRNA". Rfam says of the family: mRNA-interfering complementary RNA regulator of Lpp. Transcription factor sigma E dependant sRNA. Together with MicA and RybB it allows sigma E to repress the synthesis of all abundant outer membrane proteins in response to stress. The record is from RNAcentral. Lineage: Bacteria; Pseudomonadati; Pseudomonadota; Gammaproteobacteria; Enterobacterales; Enterobacteriaceae.
UAUGGCUGGUGCUGGCGUUCGGCUUAGCAAUCUGGACAAAUUUAUUGCGCAGGGCGUGAAAGAGCUUCACAGCUCGGCGGGCAAACAAGUCCCGUCCGCCAUGCGUUACCGCAAUCCGGGAGUCUCGAUGUCUGCCGAUGCAGACGCCGAUGAAUAUUCCCGCUAUUGCGUGGACGGUGAAGCCGUCGCCGCCAUGAAAGCGGCACUGGCAACCGCCUCGUAAUGUGAACCGUUUUUUUACCGCACAUCAUGUCGCCCAAUAUGAUGUUUGCUCGUACCAGGCCCCGGCAUUUUGCUGGGGCUUUUUUUA